RNAcentral lists this long non-coding RNA (1741 nucleotides) under Triticum aestivum (bread wheat). Its description in RNAcentral is "long non-coding RNA (TAES_LNC001738)". The record is from RNAcentral. Lineage: Eukaryota; Viridiplantae; Streptophyta; Magnoliopsida; Poales; Poaceae.
CAUGCUUCAUUAAACCGGACAUGCAUCAUACUUGAUUGUGCAUCAUGCCAUGUUCAUGUCGUGGUUGUUUACUAUGUUGUUUGCUUCUUUCCGGUGUUGCUUCUUCGGGUUGGUUCCGAUAACGUCGUGUGUGUGAGGAUCCGAUCGACUACGUCCGUUUGAUUUCUUCAUGGACUCAUUCUUCUUCCUUGCGGGAUCUCAGGCAAGAUGACCAUACCCUCGAAUUCACUUCUAUCUUUGCUUGCUAGUUUGCUCGCUCUUUUGCUAUGCCUAUGCUGCGAUACAUACCACUUGCUUAUCAUGCCUCCCAUAUGGUUAAGCCAAGCCUCUAACCCACCUUGUCCUAGCAAACCGUUGUUUGGCUAUGUUACCGCUUUGCUCAGCCCCUCUUAUAGCGUUGUUAGUUGCAGGUGAAGAUGGGAGUUUGUCCCUUGUUGGAACAUGGAUAUUUUUGUUGGGAUAUCACAAUAUCUCUUAUUUAAUUAAUGCAUCUAUACACUUGGUAAAGGGUGGAAGGCUCGGCCUUAUGCCUAGUGUUUUGUUCCACUCUUGCCGCCCUAGUUUCCGUCAUAUCAGUGUUAUGUUCCCGGAUUUUGCGUUCCUUACGCGGUUGGGUUAUAAUGGGAACCCCUUGAUAGUUCGCCUUGAAUAAAACUCCUCCAGCAAGGCCCAACAUUGGUUUUACCAUUCGCCACCUAGCCUUUUCUUUCCCUUGGGUUCUGCACACUCAAGGGUCAUCUUUAUUUUAAACCCCCCCCCCCCGGCCAGUGCUUCUCUAAGUGUUGGUCCAACUGAGCGAUGUCCGGAGCUACCAGGGGCAACUCUAGGCUGGCCCACCCGAUGUCUUGCUCAUCCGGUGUGCCCUGAGAACGAGAUAUGUGCAGCUCCUAUCGGAAUUUGUCGGCACAUCUGGAUGGCUUUGCUGGUCUUGUUUUACCAUUGUCGAAAUGUCUUGUAACCGGGAUUCCGAGCCUGAUCGGGUCUUCCCGCUAGAAGGAAUAUCCUUCGUUGACCGUGAGAGCUUGUGAUGGGCUAAGUUGGGACACCCCUGCAGGGAUUUGAACUUUCGAAAGCCGUGCCCGCAGUUAUGGGCAGAGGGAAUUUGUUAAUGUCCGGUUGUAGAAAGCAUGAAGUUGACCUUAAUUAAAAUACAUCAACCGCGUCUGUAACCGUGAUGGUCUCUUCUCGGCGGAGUCCGGGAAGUUAACACGAUGUUGGAGUUAUGCUUGACGUAGGUUGUUCUAGGAUCACUUCUUGAUCAUAGUUCAUCGACCGUGCUUUUGCCUUCUCUUCUCGCUCUCUUUUGCGAAUAUGUUAGCCACCAUAUAUGCUAGUCGCUUGCUGCAGCUCCACCUCAUACCUUUUACCCUUCCUAUAAGCUUAAAUAGUCUUGAUCGCGAGGGUGUGAGAUUGCUGAGUCCCCGUGACUCACAGAUACUUCCAAAACCAGUUUGCAGGUGCCGACGUUACCGAGCAGGUGACGCAACCAAGCUCAAGGAGGAGCUCGAUGAAGAUCUUGUCCUUUGUGUUGUUUCGUUCUAGUUGAUCAGUAGUGGAGCCCAGUUGGGGUCGAUCGGGGAUCUGUGUAGCAUUUGGGGUAGUCUUCUUUUAUUUUGGUUCCAUAGUCGGACCUUGAUUGUAUCUGGUUGAUGUAAUGCUUUAUUCAUGUAAUUGUGUGAGUAGCGAUUGUAAGCCAACUAUGUAUCUCUUUCCCUUAUUGCAUUACAUGGGUUGUGUGAAG